AGUGAACGCUGGCGGUAGGCCUAACACAUGCAAGUCGAGCGAACGCACAGUAAGAGCUCGCCUCUACGGGUGGCGAGUGGCGGACGGGUGAGGCAUACAUCGGAUUCUACUAUUUCGUGGGGGACAACGUGGGGAAACAUCCGCUAAUACCGCAUAUGUCCUACGGCUGAAAGCAGGAGUUCUUCGGACCUUUCGUGUUUGAUUUAGCCGAUGUCGGAUUAGCUAGUUGGCGGGGUAAAGGCCCACCAAGGCGACGAUCCGUAGCUGGUCUGAGAGGAUGAUCGGCCACACUGGAACUGAGACACGGUCCAGACUCCUACGGGAGGCAGCAGUAGGGAAUAUUGGGCAAUGGGCGAAAGCCUGAUGCAGCAAUGCCGCGUGGGUGAAGAAGGUCUUCGGAUUGUAAAGCCCUUUUAUUAGGGAAGAAAAAAAGUGUAAUAAUACCCGGACGUUCUGACGGUACCCAAAGAGAAAGCAACGGCUAACUUCGUG
This 492-nucleotide ribosomal RNA is filed under the name uncultured bacterium. RNAcentral describes it as "partial 16S ribosomal RNA". It matches the Rfam family "Bacterial small subunit ribosomal RNA", at positions 29 to 507 of the family's 1533-position model. The record is from RNAcentral.